AAGUGUGCAAAUUAAACUUUUAACAUCUACGUGUAGGAAUCCCGUUCUGCUUCCAGAAGUGGAAGUGCUCACGGAUCGGGGAAAUCUGCAAGGCAUACCCCUGCAAGGUCUCGCUCCAAGGAAGAUUCCAGGCGUUCCAGAUCAAAGUCCAGGUCCCGAUCUGAAUCUAGGUCUAGAUCCAGAAGAAGCUCCCGAAGGCAUUAUACCCGGUCACGGUCUCGCUCCCGCUCCCAUAGACGAUCACGUAGCAGGUCUUACAGUCGAGAUUAUCGUAGACGGCACAGCCACAGCCAUUCUCCCAUGUCUACUCGCAGGCGUCAUGUUGGGAAUCGGGUAAGAUGAAAAACUGGUUUUGAAGCAGUGAACUGCCUAAAUUUACUUAAAGUUAGAGCUGAUUUUGACAAUAGAGCUUUAGCAGUGGGUGCGUGAGUGAAAUCUUCAGAGGCUUUUUUAGUGUUUUGAGAGAGUCUUUUAAGUUAAUCUUCCAUGACGGGGUCUGCAUUUGGGCUACCUGUCAUUUAAGCAGAAUACUGACACAAUGGUGUGACUCCUUAGCCCAUC
RNAcentral lists this small RNA (561 nucleotides) under Pongo abelii (Sumatran orangutan). RNAcentral's name for it is "retained intron". Lineage: Eukaryota; Metazoa; Chordata; Mammalia; Primates; Hominidae. The record is from RNAcentral.